Molecule: long non-coding RNA, 474 nt
Organism: Peromyscus eremicus (cactus mouse)
Lineage: Eukaryota; Metazoa; Chordata; Mammalia; Rodentia; Cricetidae
Exons: 3
Source: RefSeq, a predicted model, not a curated record
GCCCACUGUUGUCAAGGCAAUAGAUGGCUCUUCCUAAUCUGACAACAAGGACUAUUGCUAAAGGCACCUACAUAACACAUUGAACAUGGGUGUACCACUUUCAGGCAGCUGAAGAUCUGAGUACAACAAAAUGACAUCACCCUUCUGAAUAAAAGGCUGUGCCCUGUCUGACCACCUUCAAGCUGAGGAAUGGUAGUUGAAGAUGUCUGGAGAGUUUUGAUGAGCAAGCAUCAUAGGAGAUAUCUGGAGUUUAUUGUGUGAAGGAACUAUGUACUGCCAUGUAUGUCAGUGCAUAGUCAGAUCUUCACCAACAACCAAUGAACUUAAAACACCACAAACCAUGGGCAAAAACAUUAUUCAAGGGUAAUUUUGAAAAUAUACUAAUCUUCACGAGUCCUGAAUACCUUGGAGUGUCCUGAAAGGACACCCACAUUCUAUAGUUCAUUUGCAUGUUCAUUAAAAAUGUGAACUCUA